Molecule: unclassified non-coding RNA, 231 nt
Filed under: Hevea brasiliensis (rubber tree)
Lineage: Eukaryota; Viridiplantae; Streptophyta; Magnoliopsida; Malpighiales; Euphorbiaceae
Source: RNAcentral
GUUUUGUUCAAAAAAGGGUUUUGAUGAAGUAUGUGAUUCAAAGAUGAUGGAGGAUUCAAAGUCAAGAAAUAAGGACGAUUUGUUGGUAAGCAAAGAGCCUUUGGAACCAAAUGGUGUUGCUCUUGAUGACGAUGAUGAUUAUGGAAGAAAAUAUUGUAUUGAAGAUGAGGAAUUUGAUGUAAUUGCACUAAGGAGGUUGGCCAAAAUCGAGAGGCAUAGAGCAGACAUGGC